RNAcentral lists this unclassified non-coding RNA (331 nucleotides) under soil metagenome. RNAcentral's name for it is "partial contains 5.8S ribosomal RNA, internal transcribed spacer 2, and large subunit ribosomal RNA". The stretch from base 1 to 120 matches the Rfam family "5.8S ribosomal RNA", at positions 35 to 154 of the family's 154-position model. The record is from RNAcentral.
GAUGAAGAACGUAGCAAAAUGCGAUAAGUAAUGUGAAUUGCAGAAUUCAGUGAAUCAUCGAAUCUUUGAACGCACAUUGCGCCCGCCAGUAUUCUGGCGGGCAUGCCUGUUCGAGCGUCAUUUCAACCCUCAAGCACAGCUUGGUGUUGGGACUCGCGUUAAUUCGCGUUCCUCAAAUUGAUUGGCGGUCACGUCGAGCUUCCAUAGCGUAGUAGUAAAACCCUCGUUACUGGAAUCGUCGCGGCCACGCCGUUAAACCCCAACUUCUGAAUGUUGACCUCGGAUCAGGUAGGAAUACCCGCUGAACUUAAGCAUAUCAAUAAGCGGAGGA